AUUGAACGCUGGCGGCAGGCCUAACACAUGCAAGUCGAGCGGAUGAAGGGAGCUUGCUCCUGGAUUCAGCGGCGGACGGGUGAGUAAUGCCUAGGAAUCUGCCUGGUAGUGGGGGAUAACGUCCGGAAACGGGCGCUAAUACCGCAUACGUCCUGAGGGAGAAAGUGGGGGAUCUUCGGACCUCACGCUAUCAGAUGAGGCUAGGUCGGAUUAGCUAGUUGGUGGGGUAAAGGCCUACCAAGGCGACGAUCCGUAACUGGUCUGAGAGGAUGAUCAGUCACACUGGAACUGAGACACGGUCCAGACUCCUACGGGAGGCAGCAGUGGGGAAUAUUGGACAAUGGGCGAAAGCCUGAUCCAGCCAUGCCGCGUAUGUGAAGAAGGUCUUCGGAUUGUAAAGCACUUUAAGUUGGGAGGAAGGGCAGUAAGUUAAUACCUUGCUGUUUUGACGUUACCAACAGAAUAAGCACCGGCUAACUUCGUG
RNAcentral lists this ribosomal RNA (484 nucleotides) under uncultured bacterium. Its description in RNAcentral is "partial 16S ribosomal RNA". It matches the Rfam family "Bacterial small subunit ribosomal RNA", at positions 30 to 507 of the family's 1533-position model. The record is from RNAcentral.